UNUGACUUGAGUGCAGAAGGGGAGAGUGGAACNCCAUGUGUAGCGGUGAAAUGCGUAGAUAUAUGGAGGANCACCAGUGGCGAAAGCGGCUCUCUGNUCUGUCACUGACGCUGAGGCUCGAAAGCGUGGGUAGCGANCAGGAUUAGAUACCCUGGUAGUCCACGCCGUAAACGAUGAGUGCUAGGUGUUAGGCCCUUUCCGGGGCUUAGUGCCGGAGCUAACGCAAUAAGCACUCCGCCUGGGGAGUACGACCGCAAGGUUGAAACUCAAAGGAAUUGACGGGGGCCCGCACAAGCGGUGGAGCAUGUGGUUUAAUUCGAAGCAACGCGAAGAACCUUACCAGGUCUUGACAUCCCGAUGCUAUUCUUAGAGAUAGGAAGUUACUUCGGUACAUCGGAGACAGGUGGUGCAUGGUUGUCGUCAGCUCGUGUCGUGAGAUGUUGGGUUAAGUCCCGCAACGAGCGCAACCCUUAUUGUUAGUUGCCAUCAUUAAGUUGGGCACUCUAGCGAGACUGCCGGUAAUGAACCGGAGGAAGGUGGGGAUGACGUCAAAUCAUCAUGCCCCUUAUGACCUGGGCUACACACGUGCUACAAUGGUCGGUACAACGAGUUGCGAGCCGGUGACGGCAAGCUAAUCUCUGAAAGCCGAUCUCAGUUCGGAUUGGAGGCUGCAACUCGCCUCCAUGAAGUCGGAAUCGCUAGUAAUCGCGGAUCAGCACGCCGCGGUGAAUACGUUCCCGGGCCUUGUACACACCGCCCGUCACACCACGAGAGUUUGUAACACCC
Molecule: ribosomal RNA, 786 nt
Filed under: uncultured bacterium
Lineage: Bacteria
Description: bacterial SSU rRNA
Rfam family: Bacterial small subunit ribosomal RNA
Source: RNAcentral